This 421-nucleotide long non-coding RNA is filed under the name Lathyrus oleraceus (garden pea). Its description in RNAcentral is "Pisum sativum (pea) long non-coding RNA (PSAT_LNC019377)". Lineage: Eukaryota; Viridiplantae; Streptophyta; Magnoliopsida; Fabales; Fabaceae. The record is from RNAcentral.
UCAAAUCUAGAAAUGGGAUGAACGUGUUGGUAGAGGGAGAAAAUUAGGCUUCACAAAAUAGGUCGGGCUUUAGUUUUAACUUCUACAUUGUUUAAAAAAUGGAGGUUUGAGCAUUUUAAGUGAGAGGAUCUAUAAACUUAAUCUCUUCGUUAUUACAAGUCUUUUUUAUUUUUCACAUGUAUUAAGAAAUAUAAUAAUUGUGGUACGAAAAAAGAUAAAUUAGGAAGGAUUUUACAAAAUUGUCUUUCAUUAAUGGUAUUGAAAAGACAAAUUGACAUCAUUGAAACGAGAGAGAAUAAUAAAUAUUUAAGGGUAUAAUAGGAAAAAUAACAUUAAUGAUUCAUUGAUAUUAUAAAACGAUUUAUAUUGUGGUACAAAAUAUUUUUAUAAAGCGACUUAUAAUAAAAAACAGAGGUAGUAU